AAUAAUAAAUCGAAAAAAAAACAUUUUAUAAAAAAAUUAAAUUAUAUAAAUAAAAAAAUUAAUUUAAAAAAAAGAAGAAGCAUAUUUCGACCGCACGCAGUCAAAAUAAUAAACUUGAAAAUUUAAUAUACUCCCCUAACUUCAAUCGUCUUCCCCUCCCAAAUAUUUUAUACCAAAACUAAACCUAAUUUCCCAUCACUCCCACCCCUAGCCCGCCGCCCACGCCCAUCCCCCGCCGCCGAUGCCCCAUCCCCACCACUGUCUGUCCUCCCUAGCCGCCCUUGCUGUCCGCCGCCACUAAAGAUGCUCGAGAGGGGUCAGGAAGUACCUCAAGAUGAAGUCUUCAAGAUUACUCACAUGAGGAAGGCGAAGAACGCCGAUGGUACGGACCAAUGGAUUGAGCCUAGGGCUCAGCAAACCUAUACCGAGUUUCAACAACACAAGUUGGACUAUUGUGCCUGUCAGCCAGCCGGAACGUCGAUGACCAACGAGAUAAUUGCUCAGGAGUGGAUGGAGAAGGUAGCUCCCCCGACAAGGUAUGGGAUAGUUUAUGGGAUGCCUAAUCGAGCAUGUCGUCAAUUUCCGUCGUUCCUUCAAGGCGUAGGGUACUACUUCUGAAGGGGCAGUGGAUCCUAAGGAGUACCAAGAAAUGAAGCUGAAAGUUAGUCAACUAACAAGUACACUUAGUGCCACGGAGGCAAGGAUGUUGCAUAUGCAGGCCCAAAUUGAUAGCUUACUCAACUCGAGGCCCUCUCAUAUUCCCCCGUGUCCCGAGGAUGCUCGUAGGUCACAAGCCAACGUAGUUCAUGCUCUUGUUGAUGAGGAUAGUGGGGAGGAAUCGGAUCAUGUCUCUAACACCCAACGUUGACUUUUUUGAUUCGUAUACUUUUGGAUUGUAAUAUUGCUAUGUUUUCUUGGAUAUGUAUAUGAUAUUUGAUGAUAGUUUUAAUUCGAAUUAGUUGUACUUUUGAAGGUGAAUUUGAUUGUAGGAAGUAGUUUAUGGAUGUUUAACUUUACGAUGUAGAAAGUAGUUUAUGGUUGUUUAACUUUACGAUGUUUAAGUGUUUGAAUGUAGUUUUAAGGAUAUUUAGAAGUA
Lycium barbarum (goji berry) is the source of this 1096-nucleotide long non-coding RNA. RefSeq lists it as uncharacterized. The record is from RefSeq and is a predicted model, not a curated record. The transcript is spliced from 3 exons. Lineage: Eukaryota; Viridiplantae; Streptophyta; Magnoliopsida; Solanales; Solanaceae.